This 520-nucleotide ribosomal RNA is filed under the name uncultured Glomus. Its description in RNAcentral is "SSU rRNA". It matches the Rfam family "Eukaryotic small subunit ribosomal RNA", at positions 569 to 1093 of the family's 1831-position model. The record is from RNAcentral. Lineage: Eukaryota; Fungi; Glomeromycota; Glomeromycetes; Glomerales; Glomeraceae.
AGCAGCCGCGGUAAUUCCAGCUCCAAUAGCGUAUAUUAAAGUUGUUGCAGUUAAAAAGCUCGUAGUUGAAUUUCGGGAUCAAUAUAUCGGUCGUGCCUUGGUACGUACUGGUAUCAUUGGUUUCUCCUUUCUGACGAACCAUGAUGUCAUUAAUUUGGUGUUAUGGGAAGUUAGGACUGUUACUUUGAAAAAAUUAGAGUGUUUAAAGCAGGCUUUAGCUUGAAUACAUUAGCAUGGAAUAAUGAAAUAGGACGUUCGAACCUAUUUUGUUGGUUUCUAGGAUCAACGUAAUGAUUAAUAGGGAUAGUUGGGGGCAUUAGUAUUCAAUUGUCAGAGGUGAAAUUCUUGGAUUUAUUGAAGACUAACUACUGCGAAAGCAUUUGCCAAGGAUGUUUUCAUUAAUCAAGAACGAAGUUAGGGGAUCGAAGACGAUCAGAUACCGUCGUAGUCUUAACCAUAAACUAUGCCGACUAGGGAUCGGAUGAUGUUAAUUUUUAAUGACUCAUUCGGCGCCUUACGG